UACGUAGGGGGCAAGCGUUGUCCGGAUUUAUUGGGCGUAAAGAGCGUGUAGGCGGUUUGGUAGGUCCGCUGUGAAAACUCGAGCUCAACCUCGAGACGCCGGUGGAAACCAUCAGACUAGAGUCCGGAAGAGGAGAGUGGAAUUCCUGGUGUAGCGGUGAAAUGCGCAGAUAUCAGGAAGAACACCCGUGGCUAAGGCGGCUCUCUAGUACGGUACUGACGCUGAGACGCGAAAGCGUGGGGGAGCGAACAGG
RNAcentral lists this ribosomal RNA (253 nucleotides) under uncultured bacterium. RNAcentral's name for it is "partial 16S ribosomal RNA". It matches the Rfam family "Bacterial small subunit ribosomal RNA", at positions 524 to 776 of the family's 1533-position model. The record is from RNAcentral.